GGGUGAUUAGCUCAGUUGGUAGAGCGGCGCCCUUACAAGGCGUAGGUCGGGAGUUCGAGCCUCUCAUCACCCACCA
This 76-nucleotide transfer RNA is filed under the name Halothiobacillus neapolitanus c2. Its description in RNAcentral is "tRNA-Val (TAC) (tRNA-Val-TAC-1-1)". It matches the Rfam family "tRNA". Rfam says of the family: Transfer RNA (tRNA) molecules are approximately 80 nucleotides in length. Their secondary structure includes four short double-helical elements and three loops (D, anti-codon, and T loops). Lineage: Bacteria; Pseudomonadati; Pseudomonadota; Gammaproteobacteria; Chromatiales; Halothiobacillaceae. The record is from RNAcentral. RNAcentral also lists the same sequence under 8 other names.